Molecule: unclassified non-coding RNA, 1400 nt
Filed under: Cotesia glomerata
Lineage: Eukaryota; Metazoa; Arthropoda; Insecta; Hymenoptera; Braconidae
Description: palmitoyltransferase ZDHHC15B, transcript variant X3
Source: RNAcentral
UAUAUAAUAUUUUAUAUGUAAAACAUAAUUUUAUAAUAGUAUUCAUUGAUUUAAAUUUUAAUUGAAUCAAAGUUUAGUUAAAAUUCUAAAAUAUGAUUCUUUGAUAGUGGUAUGAACAGUUAAGUCACAAAAUGACAGAAGGGUGGACUUGAUUUUAUUAAAUGAAAUAGUCUAUACAUAAUUGUUAUUGUAUACCUUAUAUUUAUUGUAAAAUAUAUAUAAUAAUUUAGUAAUAAUGGGUAAACAAAAUGGGUCAUGUUGGUGGUGUGUUAAAGCAUUUAAAUGGGUACCAGUUAUUUUUAUUCUUACAAUUGUGUUCUGGUCUUAUUAUGCGUAUGUAGUACAGUUGUGUUAUUAUACUAUUGAUAGUUACAUUCAAAAGACUUUAUACCUGAUAUUUUUUCAUAUAUUCAUCGCGAUGUUUUUGUGGUCUUAUUGGAAAACUGUCUUUACAGAUCUAAUUUCUGUUCCUGAAGUGUUUAAAGUCCCUCUGUCAGAAGUUGAGAAGCUACAACAAGCACAAAGUGAAGAAGCGCAAUGUGCAAUACUCGAAAGACUCGGACAAAACUUACCCGUUUCUAAUCGAACAAUUAGAGGAGCGAUUCGCUUUUGCGACAAGUGCCAGUUAAUAAAACCUGAUCGUGCUCAUCAUUGCAGCGUAUGCCGCGCAUGUGUAUUAAAAAUGGAUCAUCAUUGUCCUUGGGUCAACAAUUGCGUAGCCUACCACAAUUAUAAAUUUUUCAUAUUAUUUUUGGGGUAUGCGUUAAUUUAUUGUGUAUUUAUUGCCAGUACGACGUUGCAAUAUUUUAUACACUUUUGGAAGGGUGAAUUAGAUGGUAUGGGAAAGUUCCACAUAUUAUUUUUGUUUUUCAUCGCUCUUAUGUUUGCAGUCAGUCUGAAUUCUUUGUUUUUUUACCAUUGUUACCUCAUUUUACAUAAUCGAUCAACAUUAGAAGCAUUUAGACCACCCAUGUUCCGAAUGGGCAAAGAUAAAGAUGGAUUUAAUAUUGGAAAAUAUAACAACUUCCAAGAAGUGUUUGGUGAAAACAAAAAACUUUGGUUUCUUCCUAUUUUUACAAGUCUUGGAAAUGGAGUGGUCUAUCCAGUACGCGCGCAACAUCAAGGUCCGAGUACAUACAACUCAAUGGGAAAUACACAAAACAGGUGUGCCCUUGAGAUGAAUUUGAUAGAAGGAGGAACUAUUAUUGCACUUGGUGCUGGAUAACCACUUUUUGUUACCGUUACUAUAUUAAUACAAUAAAAUAAAAUCAAGUAUAACAAAGCACUGCUGUUGUAGGACCUCUUGUGGAAGCCAGUGAACCUUUGGUGAAUUCAGUUGAAAUACUCUGAUAUUUAUUUCAAAUAAACAGUCACGAAAACAUUAAAUUUUAUUUUCAAAA